Molecule: long non-coding RNA, 244 nt
Filed under: Elaeis guineensis (African oil palm)
Lineage: Eukaryota; Viridiplantae; Streptophyta; Magnoliopsida; Arecales; Arecaceae
Description: long non-coding RNA (EGUI_LNC010005)
Source: RNAcentral
GACAAGUAAUAGAGUAUCACACGCCCUCUUGGAGUUCUUUGGUUAGUAAAAUUCCUUGAAGAGGAACAUGACCCAUAUUGUGAUGUGAUGAAUAACAAACCGGUCUUUCUUUAUAGAAACAUUCUUGAUAUGGGGCAGCAACAAUAUAUUCCUGCAAAGAGUGAUAUGGAUAAUAACAGUAAUAAAAACAUGAUGCAUAAGGAGCCCUGUUAUACAGAUCAUAUUCAUGAAGAAUAUUAGCAGU